GGCCGGCGUGGUGGACUUGGCGUUGGCGGGGCUGGCGCCCCGGCCAGGCCGCGUGGGAGCGCGGCCCGGCCG
This 72-nucleotide transfer RNA is filed under the name Actinocatenispora thailandica. RNAcentral's name for it is "tRNA-Ala". The record is from RNAcentral. Lineage: Bacteria; Bacillati; Actinomycetota; Actinomycetes; Micromonosporales; Micromonosporaceae.